CGCUGGCGGCGUGCCUAACACAUGCAAGUCGAGCGAGGAGAUCCUCGGGAUGAUCCUAGCGGCGGACGGGUGAGUAACACGUGGGCAACCUGCCUCAUAGAGAGGAAUAGCCUUCCGAAAGGGAGAUUAAUACCUCAUAACAUUGCAGUUUCGCAUGGAACAGCAAUUAAAGGAGUAAUCCGCUAUGAGAUGGGCCCGCGGCGCAUUAGCUAGUUGGUGAGGUAACGGCUCACCAAGGCGACGAUGCGUAGCCGACCUGAGAGGGUGAUCGGCCACAUUGGGACUGAGACACGGCCCAGACUCCUACGGGAGGCAGCAGUGGGGAAUAUUGCACAAUGGGGGAAACCCUGAUGCAAGCAACGCCGCGUGAGUGAUGACGGCCUUCGGGUUGUAAAGCUCUGUCUUCAGGGACGAUAAUGACGGUACCUGAGGAGGAAGCCACGGCUAACUACGUGCCAGCAGCCGC
This 466-nucleotide ribosomal RNA is filed under the name uncultured bacterium. RNAcentral describes it as "bacterial SSU rRNA". It matches the Rfam family "Bacterial small subunit ribosomal RNA", at positions 34 to 518 of the family's 1533-position model. The record is from RNAcentral.